CAAAACAGCAGCAGGAGAAGCAGCAUUAGCGGAGCCUUACUCAACCCUGCGAGAAAAAAGCUCGAUGACAAAACUCCGAUCUUAUUACCGCUCCUCCUAACCUGCAUGUCUUGAAAGAUGAAGCACUAGUGAAUUUAUCCCAAUUCGUUCUGGAAGACUUUGUGCGUUUUAUGGGAAUUAAAAACAAAGGCCCGUGUUUGGAGUGAUGAGCUUUAGCCUGUUAGCCCGACAGCUUCAACCUCCAGCUGACAGAAACCUCCACAUCUCAGCCAAAAACAACCUAUUAAUCUGCUUGCAUGCAGAGAAUGGACUGAAGACAGCUCAGAGAGCCAUAAUUGACUAGAUGAACAAAUCAAGCUGGAGGCAGGCUCAGCGGAGAAUUCAACAUGAAGUUGUAUGUGUUUCAAGUCAACAACGGAAGCACAUUGACAUUUGACACUGAACUUGCUGUCCAAACUGUUUUGGACCUUAAACAUGCCAUUCAGGCCAAAUAUAAAAUUGCAGUCCAGCACCAGGUGCUGGUGGUCAAUGGAGGGGAGUGUAUGGUGGCAGAGAGGCGCGUGUGCAGCUACAGUGCCGGAACGGACACCAACCCGAUCUUCUUAUUCAACAAAGAGAUGAUCCUGUCUGACCGAGCUCCAACCAUCCCCAAAACGACCUUCUCCAUAGAGAAUGAGAUGGAGCUGAAGGUGGAGGAGUCACUCAUGAUGCCUGCCGUCUUUCACACCGUCGCUUCCCGCACUCAACUGGCUGUGGAAAUGUUUGAGGUUGCCAAGAAGCUUUGCUUGUUCUGUGAGCGUCUGGUCCAUGAUGAACACCUUCAGCACCAGGGAUGGGCGGCCAUCAUGGCUAACCUGGACGAUUGCACCCUAUCCUAUCAAAAACUCCUCAUGAAAUUCGACACUGCUUAUACAAAUUACCAACAGGAUUUUGAAGACAUCAAAUUAAAACUCACAAAGCUUGGCACUGCUGUCUCAGUCAUGGCGAAGAUUCCACUGCUUGAGUGUUUGACUCGGCAGAGCUACAGAGAAAGCUUGGAGAAGUCCAGCUCCCCUCACCCGAGAACCACAGAUGAAGACGAGAAUGAGGAUGAAGUAGGAGAAACAUCCACCCAGUCCGCUAUCCUCUGUCCCGCUGACAGCCAUAAGAAUCGGAAGUCACCCUCGCCGGUCUCUGCUUCAGGGGAAGCGUCGUCCCAGGCGUCCUUCUCUCCUCAGGACAGACUGAAGAGCAGCUGUAGUCUAAAAGCAGCUCUAGAGGAAGAGGAGGAGUCUCCGGAGAGGGGAGCCACACCCUCUUUCAAUGUCACGCUCUUGGAUUGGAUCAACGUUCAGGACAGACCUAACGAUGUGGAGUCAGUAGUGAGGAAGUGUUUUGACUCAAUCAACAGGCUCGACCCACGAAUUAUCCAACCCUUUCUAUCUGAAUGCCGCGAGACGAUUACCAAAUUGGAUAAUCAGAACAUGAAGGCCAUCAAAGGACUUGAAGACCGAUUGUAUGCUCUUGACCAAAUGAUAGCAAGCUGUAAACGGUUGGUCAAUGAACAGCAGGAACUUGCUCAGGGAUUUCUUGCCAAUCAGAAGAGGGCUGAAAACCUGAAGGACACCUCGGUGCUGCCUGACCUGUGUCUGAGUCACGCCAACCAGCUGAUGAUCAUGCUGACCAAUCACAGGAAACUACUAGACAUCAAGCAGAAGUGUACCACUGCCAAACAGGAGCUCGCCAACAACCUUCAAGUUCGUCUCAAAUGGUGCUGCUACGUGAUGCUUCACGCUGAUCAGGAUGGAGAGAAGCUGCAGGCUCUCCUGAGGCUGCUGACGGAGCUGCUGGAGCGCGUGCGGGUGGUGGAGGCGCUCAGCACUGUGCCACAGAUGUACUGUCUCGCCGUAGUGGAGGUGGUCAGACGCAAAAUGUUUAUAGGACACUACAGACAAUGGGCCAAUGCUCUUGUGAAAGAUGGGAAAAACCUCUAUGAGGCAGAAAAAGUAAAAAGGGAAUGCUUUGGGAAGCUCUUCAGGAAAUCGUUCCUCAGAAACCGGUUGUUUCGAGGACUGGACUCAUGGCCACCCUCUUCGUUUUGCACCCGAAAGCCUCGAAAGUUUGACUUUGAGCUUCCAUAUAUUUCCCUGAGUGACCUGCAGUAUCUCAAGUCCUGUUGUCCUUUCGAGGUUCAGCCUUACCUCAGGGUCCCAACACUAUGUGACUUUGAGCCUCUUAACCAGAGUAUUGCGGUUCUUCAUCAGCUGGUUCAGGCUGCGCAGAGUGUGGACGAGAUGUCACAAACUAUCACAGACCUACUAAAUGAACAAAAGUUUUCCUGUAGCCAGAGUGCUCAAAGAUUCACCGCAUUAACACCCAGAUCUAAAAGCACAACUGAAAUCACCUCUACCUCCACCAAAACUUUGUCCACUCUCAGUUUAAAAGCACCGGACUGCCAACCCCUGGCGCUUCCUGGUCACUUGGAGGACCUAUCACCUGACAGCAUAGAUGCCCAGACUUUUGACUUUGAAACCAUUGGGCAUCCCAAUAUGGAUCCUGUAUUACAGCAAGGCUCGUUGGACUUGGACUCGUUGGCAGAAAGUCCUGAGUCGGAUUUCAUGUCAGCAGUUAAUGAGUUUGUUAUUGAGGAGAACUUGAUGUCACCUAAUCCCAUAAGUGAUCCCACAAGCCCAGAGAUGAUGGUGGAGUCUCUUUACUCCUCUGUCAUUAAUGCAAUCGAUAGCAAGCGUAUACAGGACACUACUACACUUGAGAAGGAAAAUUCAAAGAUUGCAGUACUCAAGCUGUCAGCAGACAGGUACCGUUCUGCUGCGGAAGAGUCCCAGAACAAUUUGAGGAAAGUUAAAGAAGACAUUUAUCACUUUCGAGGUCUUGUUCUGAAAGAGCAAAGAGACUUUGGAUUCACCCUGAAAACAAUGACCAUUGAGGUCCGAAACGCUCUCAACAGUGUCAGAUACUGUCACGAGGAGGAGCUGAGAGAAACGCAACAAACCGAUCUCCAGAGUUUGAAGGACGAUCAUGAAAAGCAGAUACAAACUCUCACGGAAGAGCUUGAAGGCAAUCGGAAGAUUGUUCGAGACGUCCAGAGAGCAAUGCUAGAAUUGGAGGGGCUCGUGGAGCGCAAGGAGAAGGAAAUAUCCCAGCUGGAGAGUGUGAGGGAACGCUCUAUGCAAGAACUUCAAGAUCUUCACAAGCAAACUGUGCAGGACCUUGAGGAGAAGAUCUUGAAGCAAAGUGAAGAACUGAAAGCUACAUUGCUGUCCAAGGACGAACUCGCUGGGCAGCUGGAGAACCUUCACUUUGAGAUCGAGCACGGCCAACAGAAAAUCAGACAGGAGAUGGAGAAGGCAGAGAAGGUGCACCUUCAGGAACUGGAGGCACGGUUGAAACAACAACAUGAAGCAGAGCUGGAAUCUCUCAGAUUGGAAAAAGAAAGUGCACUUGACAAACUUGUCCAGGAGAACCUGUUGAAGCUAAGAGAUCUGGUGGAUUCCCAUUCUGCUGAACUCAAGGAACGUGAGGGACGCUUGAAAGACUUGGAGGCUCACAUCACAGAACUUGCAGAUGCCCGCUGCAAACUGGAAGUGGAGAUGGCUCUUAAAGAGGCCGAAAUGGAGGACAUGGGACUCCAGUACGAGGAGGCCAAAAGUACCCAAGAGGAGGUGUUGAGAGCGGAGCUUGCUACCCAAACAGCCACCUUGCAAUCGCAGAUCGACAUGUUGAACCAGCAGCUCCAGCAGAAGAACGAAGACUACGAGGUGGGCCUGGCCGAGCUCCGAGCGCUCAUGAGGUUGGAGAAGGACCACUGCAUCUCUGAACUCGUGGAUCGGCAUGAAGAGGAGAACACCCUGCUCCGCCAAGCGUUUUCAGCACUCAAACAGAAGUCGCAGGAUGCGGAGAAAGACUGCAAAGAACGAGUCCAGAAGAUCCAGCGCGAUCUCCAGUACCAGUUUGAUGCCUUACAGAGGGAAAAGGAGGAUGAGCAGAGGGCUUUCCAGGAGAAAGAGCAAGAGCUUAAGACUGUUAUCGGAGACCUGCAGGCAGAAAACUCACUACUAUUGGGAAGACUGGAGCGGGAGAGGGUGGAGGCCCUGCAGAGAGUGGAGAAGGAGAAAGAGGAGGCAGUCAAAGCUGCAUUACAAGAGGCCUUAAGAGACUUUCAACUCCAAAAAGAGGAGACCGAGACAAGACUGUUAGGACAAAUUGAGCUACUUGAAAAUCAGCUCAAAGACAGACAAUCCACUGACACAGUGGGACCUACUGUAGAAAAAACAGAGACUGGUAUGGAAACCAGUGCUGCAUUGUCACUGGACAGUGGCCAGUGGACCGAGGAAAGGGCAUCACUCCUGGCCAAACUAGAGCUCCUGGAACGCACAAAGAACGAGGAGAUGCAGAACCUGAAGACCUCGCUCAUUGCUGAGCAGCAGACAAACUUCAAUACUGUUCUGAUCCGGGAGAAACUAAAGAAAGAACAAAUCAUCAGUGAUCUCACCGAGAAGCUCAAAAACUUGGCACAGCAACAAGAGAAAGAUAAAGGCUUGAUCGAAACGCUCUCUGAGGACCGUGCCUCCAUCCUUCAGGAGAAGAAGCAGAUGGAGGAGGAACUCAACCAUCUGCGAAGCACCGUCCUCGUCUCUUCGUCCUUCUUUCCGCCCAAUCCCAUCCCAGUCGUCACGGAAGCUCACGGCGCCUGUGGCCCCGCCCAUGUGGAAGUCCUCUUGCUGUCCACCCCUGAUCCAGAGAGAUUGGCGUACGUGGCUGCGUUCAAGGAUGAGGAGAGGGUGGAGUCAGCCGUGGAGGCCAGCAUGAUGACAGUGCAUGACAACCCUAUGCUGUCUGAAGAGAAACAGCGCAUACUGAUUUUGGAAAGGACUUUACAUAUGAAGGAGGAAGAGAACAAAAGACUUAGUCAAAGAUUGAUGUCACAGAGUAUGUCGUCCGUCUCGUCACGGCACUCUGAGAAAAUCGCCAUUCGAGAUUUUCAGGUGGGCGACUUGGUUCUCAUAAUCCUGGACGAGAGGCACGAUAAUUACGUUCUCUUCACUGUUGGUCCCACCCUUUAUUUCCUGCACUCAGAGUCCCUCACUGCACUGGACCUCAAACCAGCGACAGGAGAAACAAGACGGCCGUGGGUUCUAGGAAAAGUCAUGGAGAAGGAAUAUUGCCAAGCCAAAAAGGCCCAAAACCGGUUCAAAGUUCCUCUCGGCACUAAAUUCUACAGAGUAAAGGCCGUGCCAUGGAACAAGAAAGUGUAAUCGUGUACAAAUUGAUCAUAUUGUAAUGAGCUCAGUAUGUUUUUAUUGCUUUUUUUAAGCAAACUCGCUCAUCCUUGGUGGUUUUAUCGACAUCAGAAGACAAAAUAAUUUUUCCCUUAUUUUUUUUGCCUCUGUUGCAAACCAUUUUAGCAAAUUUUUUUUAUACACAGAGGAUUUGUAAAUGUGGACCAAAUGAUUCUAACUUUAUCGGGGCAUUGCCUCCACGUGCGAUGGCUCUGAAGCCGUCACAACAAGUCUGUAAAAAUGGACAAAAUGUAUUUGGAUGUUACAUAUUAGUUCAUCAUUAAUAUUAUGGUCAGGUUGGGGGGCGGGCACUAUUGCGAUCAGCUUACUUAUUUCAGAAGGUUAUGAAAAUAUAAAUUUAUUGUAAAUGUUACCAGAGGAAUGGUCAUGGCAUGCAUAUAGAUAAUAUUUUCUUUAAUUUACUUGUCUGGAUAUGCAUUGUAGUCGGAGGUAUCAGUAAAAACCUGCUGAUUGUUACUCGCAUCACAGUACAACCCGUCUGUUUAUUAUGACGUACAUUUGGACGGCCACCGCAGAGGCCUCGCAAUCCUUCAGAAGCACUUUCGAAAAAAAAAGACGACGCUUUUGUCGAUUCAAAAGGGAGGUUUGUGCUGU
Molecule: RNA transcript, 5894 nt
Organism: Sinocyclocheilus rhinocerous
Lineage: Eukaryota; Metazoa; Chordata; Actinopteri; Cypriniformes; Cyprinidae
Gene name: RB1-inducible coiled-coil protein 1-like
Exons: 24
Source: RefSeq, a predicted model, not a curated record